This 277-nucleotide ribosomal RNA is filed under the name uncultured bacterium. RNAcentral's name for it is "partial 16S ribosomal RNA". It matches the Rfam family "Bacterial small subunit ribosomal RNA", at positions 28 to 314 of the family's 1533-position model. The record is from RNAcentral.
GACAAACGCUGGCGGCGUGCCUAAGACAUGCAAGUCGGACGGAGAGCUUCGGCUCUCAGUGGCGGACGGGUGAGGAACGCGUGGAGAACCUGCCCCGAUGUGGGGGAUACCACCCAGAAAUGGGUGUUAAGACCGCAUACGAUCCAGCGGCGGUGGCCGGUGGAGGAAAGCCGUGAGGCGCAUUGGGAGGGGUCCGCGUCGGAUUAGCUAGUUGGGGGGGUAACGGCCCACCAAGGCGACGAUCCGUAGCUGGUCUGAGAGGACGGCCAGCCACACU